RNAcentral lists this ribosomal RNA (876 nucleotides) under uncultured crenarchaeote. RNAcentral describes it as "bacterial SSU rRNA". It matches the Rfam family "Archaeal small subunit ribosomal RNA", at positions 21 to 903 of the family's 1478-position model. Lineage: Archaea; Thermoproteati; Thermoproteota. The record is from RNAcentral.
ACCUGACUGCUAUCGGAUUGAUACUAAGCCAUGCGAGUCAUUGUAGCAAUACAAGGCAUACGGCUCAGUAACGCGUAGUCAACCUAACCUAUGGACGGGAAUAACCUCGGGAAACUGAGAAUAAUGCCCGAUAGAACACUAUACCUGGAAUGGUUUGUGUUCCAAAUGAUUUAUCGCCAUAGGAUGGGACUGCGGCCUAUCAGUUUGUUGGUGAGGUAAUGGCCCACCAAGACUAUUACAGGUACGGGCUCUGAGAGGAGUAGCCCGGAGAUGGGUACUGAGACACGGACCCAGGCCCUAUGGGGCGCAGCAGGCGAGAAAACUUUGCAAUGUGCGAAAGCACGACAAGGUUAAUCCGAGUGAUUUGUGCUAAACGAAUCUUUUGUUAGUCCUAGAAACACUAACGAAUAAGGGGUGGGCAAGUUCUGGUGUCAGCCGCCGCGGUAAAACCAGCACCUCAAGUGGUCAGGAUGAUUAUUGGGCCUAAAGCAUCCGUAGCCGGCUCUGUAAGUUUUCGGUUAAAUCUGUACGCUCAACGUACAGGCUGCCGGGAAUACUGCAAAGCUAGGGAGUGGGAGAAGUAGACGGUACUCGGUAGGAAGUGGUAAAAUGCUUUGAUCUAUCGAUGACCACCUGUGGCGAAGGCGGUCUACUAGAACACGUCCGACGGUGAGGGAUGAAAGCUGGGGGAGCAAACCGGAUUAGAUACCCGGGUAGUCCCAGCUGUAAACUAUGCAAACUCAGUGAUGCAUUGGCUUGUGGCCAAUGCAGUGCUGCAGGGAAGCCGUUAAGUUUGCCGCCUGGGAAGUACGUACGCAAGUAUGAAACUUAAAGGAAUUGGCGGGGGAGCACCACAAGGGGUGAGGCCUGCGGUUC